Molecule: non-coding RNA, 345 nt
Organism: Centropristis striata (black sea bass)
Lineage: Eukaryota; Metazoa; Chordata; Actinopteri; Perciformes; Serranidae
Source: the annotation of a RefSeq genome assembly
AUGACUCUCAUCACCAUCCUCAUCUGGACGCUGGCCUGCUGCUGUUUUACAGGAUGCAGCGGUCAGGUGACUGUGACUCAGCCUGCAGUAAAGACAUCUGCUCCAGGGUCCACUGUCACUAUCAGCUGUAAGACCAGCCGGGCUGUUUACAGAAAUGGUGAUGGAUCUGAAGAUAUGUUCUGGUACCAGCAGAAAUCUGGACAGCCUCCAAAGCUUCUGAUAAAAUUAUCAGACUGCAGAGACACUGAGCUGUUACAGCAGGAACCGACUGCAGCUGCUGAAGAGGAAGAGACUCUGACACAGACCACUGAACACAGAGCUGACAGUCACCUCUACAAGCACUAA